RNAcentral lists this ribosomal RNA (375 nucleotides) under grassland soil bacterium TSA-8. RNAcentral's name for it is "bacterial SSU rRNA". It matches the Rfam family "Bacterial small subunit ribosomal RNA", at positions 147 to 506 of the family's 1533-position model. The record is from RNAcentral.
CUCCGGGAAACCGGGGCUAAUACCGAAUAAUCCAUUCCUCAGCAUGGGAAAGUUGUUAAAGACGGCAUUCUCGCUGUCACUACAGGAUGGGCCCGCGGCGCAUUAGCUAGUUGGUGAGGUAACGGCUCACCAAGGCGACGAUGCGUAGCCGACCUGAGAGGGUGAUCGGCCACACUGGGACUGAGACACGGCCCAGACUCCUACGGGAGGCAGCAGUAGGGAAUCUUCCACAAUGGACGAAAGUCUGAUGGAGCAAUGCCGCGUGAGUGAAGAAGGUUUUCGGAUCGUAAAACUCUGUUGUGAGGGAAGAACAAGUAUGAGAGUAACUGCUCGUACCUUGACGGUACCUCAUUAGAAAGCCACGGCUAACUACGU